RNAcentral lists this unclassified non-coding RNA (313 nucleotides) under uncultured fungus. Its description in RNAcentral is "partial contains small subunit ribosomal RNA, internal transcribed spacer 1, and 5.8S ribosomal RNA". The stretch from base 1 to 73 matches the Rfam family "Eukaryotic small subunit ribosomal RNA", at positions 1759 to 1831 of the family's 1831-position model. Lineage: Eukaryota; Fungi. The record is from RNAcentral.
ACAAACUUGGUCAUUUAGAGGAAGUAAAAGUCGUAACAAGGUUUCCGUAGGUGAACCUGCGGAAGGAUCAUUACGAGGAAAGGGCGCCGGCCUCCGGCGCCCCCCAACCCAUCCGUGUCUACCGUACCUACGUUGCUUUGGCGGGCCCGCCUCCCCCCGCUCGGGGGGAGGCCGCCGGCGUCCAGGGACGCUGGCCAGCGCCUGUCAGGGGACCUCUAGAACCCGUGUCAACCGUGGACCCUCUGAGUUGAACCGAAUAGUUAAAACUUUCAACAAAGGAUCUCUUGGUUCUGGCAUCGAUGAAGAACGCAGC